UAGUCCGCGCCGUAAACGAUGAUAACUAGCUGUCCGGGCACUUGGUGCUUGGGUGGCGCAGCUAACGCAUUAAGUUAUCCGCCUGGGGAGUACGGCCGCAAGGUUAAAACUCAAAGAAAUUGACGGGGGCCUGCACAAGCGGUGGAGCAUGUGGUUUAAUUCGAAGCAACGCGCAGAACCUUACCAACGUUUGACAUGUCCAGUAUGGGUAUCAGAGAUGACUCCCUUCAGUUCGGCUGGCUGGAAC
Molecule: ribosomal RNA, 247 nt
Filed under: uncultured bacterium
Lineage: Bacteria
Description: partial 16S ribosomal RNA
Rfam family: Bacterial small subunit ribosomal RNA
Source: RNAcentral